RNAcentral lists this transfer RNA (74 nucleotides) under Rhodoluna lacicola. Its description in RNAcentral is "tRNA-Arg". It matches the Rfam family "tRNA". Rfam says of the family: Transfer RNA (tRNA) molecules are approximately 80 nucleotides in length. Their secondary structure includes four short double-helical elements and three loops (D, anti-codon, and T loops). Lineage: Bacteria; Bacillati; Actinomycetota; Actinomycetes; Micrococcales; Microbacteriaceae. The record is from RNAcentral. RNAcentral also lists the same sequence under 3 other names.
GCGUUUGUAGCUCAACGGAUAGAGCAUCUGACUACGGAUCAGAAGGUUGGGGGUUCGAGUCCCUCCAAGCGCAC